Long non-coding RNA from Entelurus aequoreus (snake pipefish), 716 nucleotides. RefSeq lists it as uncharacterized. The record is from RefSeq and is a predicted model, not a curated record. The transcript is spliced from 9 exons. NCBI's taxonomy places the organism in Eukaryota, Metazoa, Chordata, Actinopteri, Syngnathiformes, Syngnathidae.
UUCUGUUGCUCGAUGCGAGCUUUAUUCAACAGGCACAGCUGCGGACAACUAUCGAGCUCUGAAGGACCCUCCCUUUAUAAAGCUCGGGCAGCCAUUCCACUCUCUCUUUCCUGCCUAACAGUUUGCUGAGCAUCUCCUCCUCAAAUAGUGUUCACAUGGAUCUCGUGGAUGACCGCUUGUGGGUUAAAGAAACGUGUGCAGAAAUGGAUAAGAUAAAAUUUGCCGUGAUGCUCAUCAGUCUAAUUUUGAAUGGUUUGAAGCAAUAGAUUUAAUCGAACCAUCGUAACACAACGUAUUUGUUCAAGGUUGCUCCUGGAUACAAUACACCCCAACCAAUGCUGGACCUUGAGUUGAUGGUGUGUAAUCUUUCAACUAGACUGUCUCUUAAGAGUAAUGCUAGAACUCUGCUGGGUACAAGGUUUGCAACUUCUGAGUUGAUGGUCUCUCAAAUGGUCCGAUGGAAUGCUGUAUAUGGAAGCUCUUGUUGCAGUAAGGAUGCUGCUCCAUUCAAGUGCAAUUAUUAAAAAUUAAAGUACCAAUGAUUGUCACACACACACUAGAUGUGGUGAAAUUUGUGGGGAUCCUAACCUGAUGGCUUUCAGUGGGCAGUUUAUGGAAAAGGUUCUGAAAGGCAUUUGGAGUAUCUACGCUGCAAUCAUCCUUAAAGCUAUUUAUGUUAUCAAAUGUGCUGAAUAAUAAAAAAAAAAAUGGUUGAA